CCUACGGGGGGCAGCAGUGGGGAAUAUUGGACAAUGGGCGAAAGCCUGAUCCAGCCAUGCCGCGUGUGUGAAGAAGGCCUUCGGGUUGUAAAGCACUUUCAGUGGGGAAGAAAGCCUUGGGGCUAAUACCCUCGAGGAAGGACAUCACCCACAGAAGAAGCACCGGCUAACUCCGUGCCAGCAGCCGCGGUAAUACGGAGGGUGCGAGCGUUAAUCGGAAUUACUGGGCGUAAAGCGCGCGUAGGCGGUCUGAUAAGCCGGUUGUGAAAGCCCCGGGCUCAACCUGGGAACGGCAUCCGGAACUGUCAGGCUGGAGUGCAGGAGAGGAAGGUAGAAUUCCCGGUGUAGCGGUGAAAUGCGUAGAGAUCGGGAGGAAUACCAGUGGCGAAGGCGGCCUUCUGGACUGACACUGACGCUGAGGUGCGAAAGCGUGGGUAGCAAACAGGAUUAGAUACCCCAGUAGUC
Molecule: ribosomal RNA, 465 nt
Filed under: Vreelandella stevensii
Lineage: Bacteria; Pseudomonadati; Pseudomonadota; Gammaproteobacteria; Oceanospirillales; Halomonadaceae
Description: partial 16S ribosomal RNA
Rfam family: Bacterial small subunit ribosomal RNA
Source: RNAcentral